UUUUUUUUUUUUCUAAUUUCAGUAAAGUGAGUGAUCUGUUUUUUCCCAUAGUCUACGCUAGAAACAUGAGAUAUCUAUGAUUCACACUGCAACCUACCUCCCCCGUCACACAACUGGGGUGAAGGCACAUUGAAUGUUCUGUGGGGUUUGGUUGUUGUUUUUUUUUCAUCAAAGAAUAAAAACUUGAAGAGCAUUGUGGAGUUUUUGGUAUUUUGUUCCUCCUCAAAAGUAGUCUCGGCAUUCAGUGUUUCCCUCCUGCAUUUCCCCACGCUUCCCCCACUUCCAGCACUGCCUGGCACUCUUUCCCUUCUCAGAGUUUGUUUCCUUCCCCAGCGUGCUCCUUCAGGACACCCACUUCAGUGCUGCCUCCUGGCUCUCCCCUGUCCCUCUCUUGUGCAGCUGCCAGUGGAGUCAGCACAUAGAGGUAGCUGUUACAUGCAUACUUCAUACGUCAGAAAGCUGCCUUUUCUGCUCUUAAUUCAUUCUGUUCAAUUUGAAACUCUUUCUAUAGUCCUUCACCCUCCCUUCUUCCUUACUUCUCCUACUUCCCUAUAUCUUUCUCCCUCAGCCAAGGCUUGGUAAUUUUCUUCAUGUUUCUCUCUUGGUCUUACAACUUCCCAUUUCUUUCCCAUUCUCCACCUACUUCCUCUGACUUAUUUUGUUACCAGACUGUGUUUUUAGUGCCAGCCAUAUCUCCAGUACCUCUACAACUGUACCAUUUGUUAGAUUCCUUACAUUUUCUCCAGUUGCUCCUUUGGAGUCCCAGCACUGCCAGUUCUCAAUCACACAAACACCAAAUCCACUCCCUUCAAAAAGCACUCUCCUCCACUAGGAAUUGAAUGCUCCUAUAGGAAGCAAUCACCAUUUUCACAGGGGUGCAUGAUGAUGCAUCAGCGUUAAGAAGGUGGCUUACUAAGAACUGAUUAGAAGAGAUGAGCAAUGCUUUGAUAAUCAAUGCUGAAUCUACUUGAAGUUAAGACAAAGGUUUGGGCUGUCUGUUCUGGAGGAACUUAUCCCUAGAAACUUCAGAGAAAAAAAAAAGACUAAGCUGAGAUACUUAAGCCAUGGACAGAGCUAACCAGGGCUAUCAAGACAUUCCAAGGCAAGAGGAGUCCAACCAGCUAUCUGCAGCAACCAUUUACCUCUUCAGUGUUCAAACUCUACACAGUCAACAAGCAACUGCAUAAGGCAACUUUCUAGCAACUUAAGGAACCUAAGAGCAACAGGUCAGUGGUACAGCAUUCAGAGCACUGCAAUUUUCACCUGGAAAAUGAGAGAAGAGAAAGAGAGUAGCACCUGUUCAGUAGGCUGAAUGAUGUGGUACACCUGGGACAAAGACACAGACAAUCCCCAAGUGGUGAGGUGGGAUACAGUCUUUCAAAUUUUAAGGCAGGGCCCUCUCUGACAAAGUUGUUUGCGGUGACCUGUUGCUCCUUCACAGCACAGGGAGGUUGCUUGUGGCAUCACUGCAUUACUGCAGUUUGCUCCUUGACGUGCUGCCCAGCCAGACACAAAUGUGGGUGUGCGGGUGGCACAGGAGAGUGAACGUGCAGGCAGCUGUGAUUGAAAACUCUGAAAGUCUAAGGUCUCUCCAAACGCCCGAGUUAAAAGCAGAGGCAGCCUCCUGGAUCGAUUAUGCAUGCACGCCACUGAAAAUACAGGCAGCUAAAGUACCAGAGCCCUGCUGGAUAAUUUAUAGGCUGUUGUUAGUAUUCACAGAGCGGUGGGCAGAGUUCAAAGGAACGAGGUGGAAAAUAGAAGUUUGAGCCUUAUAAAAACACUGUCACAGCCAGCAUGAGCCUCUGCUCCAUAAAGGGCUCUGCUUGUGCUAGGUACAGGCAAAAGCCAGCAGACAUCAGCACAGCAGGAGCUGAUAAGUGCCACCCUGGCACAGGGGCAGAGCAUCCAGGCAGUGUGCAAAACCAGAGAGCACUAAUGUGCAAAUUGUGAGUGUCUAAGCACGUGGCUGCUUAGCUUUUUGGAGAGUACAGGUCAGCUGUAUAGCAAACAGCCUGUGACUCUCCUUUCCCCACAGUCUUUCCUCACUAUACCUUUGAUUCUCCUACCUGCCACACCUCAUGUUACGUGGGCUACCUCUGCCAUAAGCACCAAGCAGGGAAUAAAGGAGGACCUUCAGAUGUCUUUUUUACUUAAUGGUUUCACCAGGAUUUGAAGCCAGGACUUCAGAGGAAAAAAAGAUAAUUAUACUAAGCCACUUAAAACAUGAGCUCUGUUCAGGUGAACUUGAGUUUUUCAGUUUCACCACUGCUUUAGCCCCUUAGCCAUGAAGUUAUAGGAGAGAAAGACAGGAAGACAGUGAGGUCACCAGUUUACCAAGCUCCAUGUCUGCUCACUUUUGAGAUUACACACAACACCAACAGUAUUAGCAUAAGUACUGGGUUGUUGCCUUCAGCAAAAUGUAAAGCAAAGCCUCCCUCACCUGACUUCUCUCUCUGCAAGGCUCCUGUAAAACCAGAGCUUGCAGGCAGACAUACAGGGGCACUCUGCAUGCUGUUACUAUUCACCAACAACUACCUAGCACAGUAAAAGGACUACAAGAGAAGGCAUCAUGCAGACAGAUAAAAGAAGGGGUUUAGCCAAUUUUAUACCAGCGUCUGUACAUGCAGGUGCUACCUUCAAAUUCCACUCUCACAUCACCUCUCCACAGCACCCAGCAUACUCCUCUUCAAUCUUACACAUCUCCCAGGAGUCCUGUCUGAAGGUACAAGUAAUUAUCUGAUCUGUAAACUUUUCUAAAUGAAGCUCCCUACCCUCUGCAACAUGCAUCUGAACUGAGAAGGCACACAGGAAUUUAGUAUCAUACAUUGUGCUGCUUCAGAGACACCAAUCACUUGCAACGAAAACCUUUUGUUCUACAUUUGGACAGCACCAAACAAAAUACAAUCAUAGCGUACGACCCAGGAUUAUGGCAGUAUAAUUAAAUAGGCAACAGUCACUUAAACUAGUCUCCACUUCAUAUAGGUUCAAACAAAAUGUGUUGGGUUUUUUUUUUUUAUCUCUGUAGAAUCUGAAGGACUAUAAUAUUGACAGAGGGAUGUUCUUUUAAUCAUUACAGUCAAUUUUUAAUUAAUCUAAUUAUUUUUUAAACAAAGAAGCUGCAUCUUUAUUCUCGUGAGCACUGGCAUGGGCUCUCAGUGUAUUAUCCACCAAACUAUUCAGUGCAAUAUGUAACUUGAUUAGCUCCGUUUCUACACAUGUAGUGGUCGUUGGGGUCUUGGCAAUUAAUCUAUUAAGGGUCCACAGCAAUAUUUCAGGUGGAUAUUCAACAGAAAUGUCAUUAAAAGUUGGAGGAUAAACAUACAUGGGGAACAGCACAGAAUUUUGAAGACUGGCAGCAUCUGCUGAUAAGUUUGACAACCAUUAACUUACAGAACAGUUUGGGAUAAAAUCUCAAAUCAAUCCUAAGAUGAAGAGCACACAAAAUGUGAUUAAAUAAAUCAGUCCAUUGUCUAUGAUUUUCAACAAAGAGAAUUUAAACUCCUUCUAUUGAAUUUGAGACCCAUUUUAGAGAUAAGAAAUAAGAGAUAGCAAUUUGCUCUUGUCACAAAACAACUCAGUCGCAGAACAAAAACAAAAGUUUCUGCCUCCUGCUCCCUCCAUUUGAUUGUUUACCUCUGACAGUACAAAAAGUGGAGGCUUCAGGAAAAAAAAAAAA
RNAcentral lists this long non-coding RNA (3676 nucleotides) under Gallus gallus (chicken). RNAcentral describes it as "lncRNA (ENSGALG00010007061.1)". The record is from RNAcentral. Lineage: Eukaryota; Metazoa; Chordata; Aves; Galliformes; Phasianidae.